AGAGAGAGACAUGCGCGCAUAUCAAUAAGCGGAGGAAAAGAAACUAACAAGGAUUCCCUUAGUAACGGCGAGUGAAGCGGGAAGAGCUCAAAUUUGAAAUCUUCAAGGUUCUACCUUGACGAAUUGUAGUUUAUAGAAGUGUUUUCUGUUAGUGGAGUGGCAAAGGUUCUUUGGAAUAGGACAUCAUAGAGGGUGAGAAUCCCGUAUUUGGUCAUUCCUCCUAGCGUUGUGAUACACUUUCAACGAGUCGGAUUGUUUGGGAAUGCAGUCCAAAAUGGGUGGUAAAUUUCAUCUAAAGCUAAAUAUUGGCGAGAGACCGAUAGCGAACAAGUACCGUGAGGGAAAGAUGAAGAGAACUUUGAAAAGAGAGUUAAACAGUACGUGAAAUUGUCAAAAGGGAAGCGUUUGACACCAGUGUUGUUUUUCCGAAAAUCAAUUACGAAUGUUUUGUUUUUGAGGAGUUAUGACUUCAUCGGCUUGCUUCUUUCUUUACGAAACUUUCUUAAUGCACUUUUCGUUUAACAAGUCAACAUCAAUUUCUUUUGUUGUAAAAGGGUAUGAGGAAGGUGGCUUUCUUUUCGGAGAAAGUGUUUAUAGCCUUGUGCCUCUGCAAUCGGAGAGAUUGAGGUCUGCAGCGUAGAUCCUUCGGGGUUAGAUACGUAGAUGCUAAGUUAUAGCUUUUUCAUAGACAACUUGUUGACUAUGAUUAGUCAUGUAGCUUACUCGUUGACGCUAUUUUACCUACGCUUAGGAUGUUGAUAGUCACAGCGUGUAC
RNAcentral lists this ribosomal RNA (775 nucleotides) under uncultured Neocallimastigales. RNAcentral's name for it is "partial large subunit ribosomal RNA". It matches the Rfam family "Eukaryotic large subunit ribosomal RNA", at positions 23 to 634 of the family's 3401-position model. The record is from RNAcentral. Lineage: Eukaryota; Fungi; Neocallimastigomycota; Neocallimastigomycetes; Neocallimastigales.